CCCUUAGAUGUUCUGGGCUGCACACGUGCUACACUGGCAGGUUCAGCGAGCUUCAUGCCCUGAUCUGAAAGGAAUGGGAAAUCUUUUCAAAACCUGCCGUGCUUGGGAUAGAUGUUUGCAAUUAUUCAUCUUCAACGAGGAUUGCCUUGUAAGCGCACGUCAUCAGCGUGCAUUGAAUACGACCCUGUAUUCUGUACACACCGCCCGUCGCUCCUACCGAUUGAAGUUUUCGGUGAGUUGACAGGAGGAUUUUUUUGAAACUGGUUCGCCAGUGGAUUUUAGAUCCAAAUGCCAUCGAAUCGAUGGCUUUAGAGGAAGGAGAAGUCGUAACA
Molecule: ribosomal RNA, 332 nt
Filed under: uncultured eukaryote
Lineage: Eukaryota
Description: partial 18S ribosomal RNA
Rfam family: Eukaryotic small subunit ribosomal RNA
Source: RNAcentral